RNAcentral lists this ribosomal RNA (788 nucleotides) under bacterium. RNAcentral describes it as "bacterial SSU rRNA". It matches the Rfam family "Bacterial small subunit ribosomal RNA", at positions 72 to 874 of the family's 1533-position model. The record is from RNAcentral.
GAACCACUUCGGUGGGGAUUAGUGGCGAACGGGUGAGUAACACGUGGGCAAUCUGCCCUGCACUCUGGGACAAGCCCUGGAAACGGGGUCUAAUACCGGAUACGACCAUCUUGGGCAUCCUUGAUGGUGGAAAGCUCCGGCGGUGCAGGAUGAGCCCGCGGCCUAUCAGCUUGUUGGUGAGGUAAUGGCUCACCAAGGCGACGACGGGUAGCCGGCCUGAGAGGGCGACCGGCCACACUGGGACUGAGACACGGCCCAGACUCCUACGGGAGGCAGCAGUGGGGAAUAUUGCACAAUGGGCGAAAGCCUGAUGCAGCGACGCCGCGUGAGGGAUGACGGCCUUCGGGUUGUAAACCUCUUUCAGCAGGGAAGAAGCGAAAGUGACGGUACCUGCAGAAGAAGCGCCGGCUAACUACGUGCCAGCAGCCGCGGUAAUACGUAGGGCGCAAGCGUUGUCCGGAAUUAUUGGGCGUAAAGAGCUCGUAGGCGGCUUGUCACGUCGGUUGUGAAAGCCCGGGGCUUAACCCCGGGUCUGCAGUCGAUACGGGCAGGCUAGAGUUCGGUAGGGGAGAUCGGAAUUCCUGGUGUAGCGGUGAAAUGCGCAGAUAUCAGGAGGAACACCGGUGGCGAAGGCGGAUCUCUGGGCCGAUACUGACGCUGAGGAGCGAAAGCGUGGGGAGCGAACAGGAUUAGAUACCCUGGUAGUCCACGCCGUAAACGGUGGGCACUAGGUGUGGGCAACAUUCCACGUUGUCCGUGCCGCAGCUAACGCAUUAAGUGCCCCGCCU